CCUACGGGGGGCUGCAGUGAGGAAUAUUGGUCAAUGGGCUUACGCCUGAACCAGCCAAGUCGCGUGAGGGAAGACUGCCCUAUGGGUUGUAAACCUCUUUUGUCAGGGAGCAAUUGGCGCUACGUGUAGCGUUAUCGAGAGUACCUGAAGAAAAAGCAUCAGCUAACUCCGUGCCAGCAGCCGCGGUAAUACGGAGGAUGCGAGCGUUAUCCGGAUUUAUUGGGUUUAAAGGGUGCGUAGGGGGAAUGACAAGCAAGCGGUAAAAUCGCGGGGCUCAACCUCGCUCCGCCGUUGAAACUGGCGGUCUUGAGUGGGCGAGAGGUAUGCGGAAUGCGUGGUGUAGCGGUGAAAUGCAUAGAUAUCACGCAGAACUCCGAUUGCGAAGGCAGCAUACCGGAGCCCAACUGACGCUGAAGCACGAAAGCGUGGGUAUCGAACAGGAUUAGAUACCCUUGUAGUC
Molecule: ribosomal RNA, 460 nt
Filed under: uncultured bacterium
Lineage: Bacteria
Description: partial 16S ribosomal RNA
Rfam family: Bacterial small subunit ribosomal RNA
Source: RNAcentral